AGACGCGGCUGGAGGCCAAGGUCAAGUUGAAAGUUACUGUCUAGCCAUCCAG
RNAcentral lists this small RNA (52 nucleotides) under Acanthochromis polyacanthus (spiny chromis). RNAcentral's name for it is "HOXA transcript at the distal tip, conserved region 2 (ENSAPOG00000020906.1)". The record is from RNAcentral. Lineage: Eukaryota; Metazoa; Chordata; Actinopteri; Pomacentridae.